RNAcentral lists this ribosomal RNA (462 nucleotides) under uncultured bacterium. Its description in RNAcentral is "partial 16S ribosomal RNA". It matches the Rfam family "Bacterial small subunit ribosomal RNA", at positions 29 to 523 of the family's 1533-position model. The record is from RNAcentral.
AACGAACGCUGGCGGCACGCCUAACACAUGCAAGUCGAACGAAGCAUAAGAGCUUGCUCUUAUGACUGAGUGGCGCACGGGUGAGUAACACGUGGGAAUCUGCCUAUUGGUGGGGAAUAACUUUUGGAAACGAAAGCUAAUACCGCAUAAGCCCUGAGGGGGAAAGAUUUAUCGCCAAUAGAUGAGCCCGCGCUAGAUUAGCUAGUUGGUGAGGUAAGAGCUCACCAAGGCUACGAUCUAUAGCUGGUCUGAGAGGAUGGUCAGCCACACUGGGACUGAGACACGGCCCAGACUCCUACGGGAGGCAGCAGUGGGGAAUAUUGGACAAUGGGGGAAACCCUGAUCCAGCGAUGCCGCGUGAGUGAAGAAGGCCUUCGGGUUGUAAAGCUCUUUCAGAGGGGAUGAUGAUGACGGUACCCUCAGAAGAAGCACCGGCUAACUUCGUGCCAGCAGCCGCAGUAA